RNAcentral lists this ribosomal RNA (449 nucleotides) under uncultured bacterium. RNAcentral describes it as "bacterial SSU rRNA". It matches the Rfam family "Bacterial small subunit ribosomal RNA", at positions 29 to 521 of the family's 1533-position model. The record is from RNAcentral.
AACGAACGCUGGCGGCAUGCCUAACACAUGCAAGUCGAACGAGACCUUCGGGUCUAGUGGCGCACGGGUGCGUAACGCGUGGGAACCUGCCUUUAGGUUCGGAAUAACUCAGAGAAAUUUGAGCUAAUACCGGAUAAUGUCUUCGGACCAAAGAUUUAUCGCCUUUAGAUGGGCCCGCGUUGGAUUAGCUAGUUGGUGGGGUAAAGGCCUACCAAGGCGACGAUCCAUAGCUGGUCUGAGAGGAUGAUCAGGCACACUGGGACUGAGACACGGCCCAGACUCCUACGGGAGGCAGCAGUGGGGAAUAUUGGACAAUGGGCGAAAGCCUGAUCCAGCAAUGCCGCGUGAGUGAUGAAGGCCUUAGGGUUGUAAAAGCUCUUUUACCCGAGAUGAUAAUGACAGUAUCGGGAGAAUAAGCUCCGGCUAAACUCCGUGCCAGCAGCCGCGGU